Long non-coding RNA from Bactrocera dorsalis (oriental fruit fly), 1753 nucleotides. RefSeq lists it as uncharacterized. NCBI's taxonomy places the organism in Eukaryota, Metazoa, Arthropoda, Insecta, Diptera, Tephritidae. The record is from RefSeq and is a predicted model, not a curated record. The transcript is spliced from 4 exons.
AUUUAAACGGAACCAGGUGUAUUCGCAAUUAUAUGACAAUUUAACCUAAAAAAAAUUUAUUUAGCGCAUCAACAAUAACAAUAAACUUAACGUAUUUAAAAAGUGUUUUAAUACAUAAUAACAUGCCAAAAGAUAGAUAGUAGAAUUUAUGGGAAAUUUUCUGGUUGUGUAUAACAAUAUUUCAAACAAAAUAAAAUCUGGGAACACUGAUUAUGAUUCCCUGAACAUAGCAUAUUUGUGCACAAAUUUUGUAACAUCCAAUUGUGUUAACGAAGUGCUGGCAUAGAUAACGUGCUGGAGGGAAUACAUCAUUCAGAAAAUUGUACGGAAGUUUACAAAUUUCAGUAUAUGUAGUCACAUGUGGAAGAGACUUAAGAGGAGAUUGUGCAUAACUCGUGGCACGUCAUCGUUUGCGCCGUUUUAAGUCAACAGACUCCACAUUCACAAAACCUUAUAACUUCACAGUCGAAUAUUUGGUAUCGGAAGUCAUGAGCCAUCACCAAACCAGUAACCACCAUUGGUUUUAUGUUCUCUUCCCUUUUAUUUUACUCAUAUUCAACAUAUGUACAUAUAAAUGAUUUGGUGGAGUCACAAACCUAGUAAAGCUUUGAAUGCAAGAAUUGUGACUAGUAUAGUUACAAAUAGAUUUGGUGUUGCUGGUGUUGAAUAGGAUGAACACGAAACGACGCAUGAAAUUAAUCGGAAUAAGCAUUGCCUCCUCAAAGGUUUUUAUUGCCCUGGCGGAUGUGCCGACUUUUUAACGCUCGUUCUAAUAGUCUUCAACAAUUUUCUAAAAGUUGCCGCUGUACUAAUAAACCGCCCGCCAGCGAUCUCUCCGCAGUCAUGAACUCAACAAUUUUACUAAAUUCUCAUAUGCACGUGAACAUAUUGGUGUGAGUUUUACCGAGAGUAUCUGUGUGUAUUUCUGGAUUUUGUUUGCUAGUCACUCAACUUAUACUUUUCGUGCUCAUCUGUUAGGUGAGCGCACUAACGUAUCACUUACGUAAGGUGAAAGAUGGCGAUACAAUGUGCAAUAUGCCUGAAAGAGUUAACACGAUUUUACGAGCGAAAACAAGUAAAUGUGAAAUAUAAAUACCACUAAAAAUGUAUCUUUUAAAUAAAAAAAAUGCGGUCGUUGCAAAUUUAGUGCUUCUAUCAACUGAAAAAGAGUACUGGAGAAGCAACACAGUUCUAAAGACAGCUGAAGUCAUAUGAAUCGUUUAUUCGCAACUUUUGAAAUGUAGAACAAUUUAUUUUAUCCGCACUCAAGCUCACAGUCGUCAAAUACAAAUGAAAAUACAUUUACAUCUGGGGAGCAAAAAAAAUCUACAUAUUUCAAAAGAACGUGAAAUACUUAAAAUUACUGUUCACAUGGUCAGAAAAUAUAUACACAACAUGCUUUAAAAAUUCGUAGUUUUAAAAUGGUUUAAAAGUUGUAAUUUGUGACUCUCCAUCGCAAACAUCUUCUAGGCAGAUUAAUUGAAAUUAAUCAUUCGAAGAUUUACUUUAUACUACAGUUGUGCUGCCUGGAAUUACACCAUACUAAAAAUACACUUAUUUGGUUAAAAACGUUGAGUAAACCUAAUUAGGGCGAAACUAUGGCGAUCACACCAUAAAUAAAUCACAUAAAAUAUAAGUAGAUAUAAUGUUUUAUAUGAUAAGUUAUAUAUAUAAGGCUUCUAUUCAAGAUUUUGAGAAUUAAAAAAAAAUAUAUAUAUAUAUAAGAGAUUUAUAACAAUAAACGUUCGAAAUU